Non-coding RNA from Pelobates cultripes (western spadefoot toad), 223 nucleotides. NCBI's taxonomy places the organism in Eukaryota, Metazoa, Chordata, Amphibia, Anura, Pelobatidae. The record is from the annotation of a GenBank genome assembly.
GCUCUUUGUAAUUGCUGCCUCGAGUUUCUCUCCACUGAGCUAACCAAACCAGGAAGUAACCGGAUCGGUUAUCUGACUGACAGCCAGGGGGGUGUAACAAGGUUCAGACACUUCACACAAAUCAUUUCACCAAGGUGAAGUGCUUUAUGUGUUUGGAGUAUACCUUUAACGCACCACAAAAGGACUGAAAAACACAGUAUAAACAUGCGCUGCAGAUCUACUG